GUGCCAGCCGCUGCGGUAAUACGGAGGUGCAAGCGUUACUCGGAAUCACUGGGCGUAAAGAGCGUGUAGGCGGAUAAAUAAGUUUGAAGUGAAAUCCUAUAGCUUAACUAUAGAACUGCUUUGAAAACUGUUAAUCUAGAAUGUGGGAGAGGUAGAUGGAAUUUCUGGUGUAGGGGUAAAAUCCGUAGAGAUCAGAAGGAAUACCGAUUGCGAAGGCGAUCUACU
This 225-nucleotide ribosomal RNA is filed under the name uncultured Arcobacter sp. RNAcentral's name for it is "partial 16S ribosomal RNA". It matches the Rfam family "Bacterial small subunit ribosomal RNA", at positions 505 to 730 of the family's 1533-position model. Lineage: Bacteria; Pseudomonadati; Campylobacterota; Epsilonproteobacteria; Campylobacterales; Arcobacteraceae. The record is from RNAcentral.